CUGCGGAAGGAUCAUUGUCGAGACCCGAACGAAAGAGCAAAUCGACGGAGAACAUGUCAACCACCAAGUAUGCCGCUUCGGCGGGGUGCGUGUUAGUUAGGACGAUCGGACGCUUCCUUGGCGUUCCCUCUUCCUAGGUAGCCGCCCCCAUCGGACGGAUUAUGUCGCGCCGUUGCUCCCGGUCCGGGGGACGGCGGCGGACGAACGGAUAAAACAGGCACGAUACGUGUCAAGGAUCUUCACAAUCAUAGCUAUAGGUAGCCUUCCGUUUAGUGCGGCGCCGGGUUUCGACGACUCUCGCCCGCUUGCGGGAGCUAACUAGCUAUUGAAAAGUCAUAUCUACGAUGACUCUCGGCAACGGAUAUCUAGGCUCUCGCAUCGAUGAAGAACGUAGCGAAAUGCGAUACUUGGUGUGAAUUGCAGAAUCCCGUGAACCAUCGAGUCUUUGAACGCAAGUUGCGCCCGAGACCUUCAGGUCGACGGCACGCCUGCCUGGGAGCCAUGCCUCGUGUCGCUCCGCGCACCCCAUGCAUGCCGAUCAAGCAGGCAUCGGGGCAGCCGACGGAAGUGGAGAUUGGCGUACCGUGUCCCUUCGUGGUGCGGUGGGCUAAAGAAUGGGAUGUCAAUGCGGCGGCGUAGGGACACGACCAGUGGUGGACGGACAAACCCGUUGUUGGCCCGCGGCCGGCGUCGUUCCCCUCCCUUGGCAUCUAUCGGGCGGCACAAUCCCUCCUCGCUCGCUCGGAGAGAGGAUUGCCGUCGCCUCUCGCGUCGCGACCCCAGGUCAGGCGGGACCACC
RNAcentral lists this ribosomal RNA (799 nucleotides) under Gymnosiphon breviflorus. RNAcentral's name for it is "eukaryotic LSU rRNA". The stretch from base 347 to 502 matches the Rfam family "5.8S ribosomal RNA". The record is from RNAcentral. Lineage: Eukaryota; Viridiplantae; Streptophyta; Magnoliopsida; Dioscoreales; Burmanniaceae.